This is a long non-coding RNA of Seriola dumerili (greater amberjack), 440 nucleotides long. RefSeq lists it as uncharacterized. NCBI's taxonomy places the organism in Eukaryota, Metazoa, Chordata, Actinopteri, Carangiformes, Carangidae. The record is from RefSeq and is a predicted model, not a curated record. The transcript has 3 exons.
GGCGGAGUCUGCAGUUCCAGGACCGCGUUUGUAGGACCUUAGUUUUUCGCGACACCGAUCCCUAACGAACUGGACGUAAGACGAUGGACAUGCAUAUAACAAUCCAAGAGGGGAGAUUUCUUCCUGAAUUGAAACACUGCAGGAAAUGCUGCAAGAAAUUCCACUACCCAUUCUGUCACUCGGCUUUGUUCCGCCCAACAAAGUUGAGCAAGGUCAGAACCCAUUUAGAGAACCAUUUCAACUGCACCGUUCUCCAUGAAGGGUACACCAUACACAGGUGUGGGUUAGAUUGUCGACCACAGUGGCACUACCACUGCAUCUACUGCCAGUCAAUGUUGUCCCGUAAACCAGACUUCAUUAGACAUUUGUCUUUCUGCAAGAAGAGGCACCCUGCUAUAACUUCUACCUGCCCAGCUCCAACCACCCCCACCAACCCCAGC